This 1277-nucleotide long non-coding RNA is filed under the name Oncorhynchus kisutch (coho salmon). RNAcentral's name for it is "lncRNA (ENSOKIG00005043786.1)". Lineage: Eukaryota; Metazoa; Chordata; Actinopteri; Salmoniformes; Salmonidae. The record is from RNAcentral.
GAACACUGAAGUUUCAGCCAAUCAGCAUGCCCGAAUGCACAUUUGGACACUGCACCCGCCCACUCUAGCUCAGAGGGUUUAUGUGGUUCCAAGAAGAAGACACAAGUUUUGGCUUGCUAUCAAGGUUUUUCGUUGUGUUUACGAGGAAGAUUGUGCGUGCAUCCAAGAAAAACCACAAGUCCAUUUCUUGUAACCACAAAGAUACUUCAAUGAUGUGUGGGUUUGUGCAACUGUGUGGUGGUGACUUAGAGAAUAAAGCUCUGGAUAUGAAAACAUCUGCCUGGUUUCUGCCGGACUGCCUGUAGUGGGUCAGACCAAAGUACAGCUAGCGUUAAGUCAUUAGCUGGUGAGGGUUCAGAAGCCAACCGCUCAGAUGGCUCCAGCUGGACAUUUUUAUACCCGGUUACUCGUUAACAAGGAUUUCUGGGAUCGUACACUCCCAAUUAUUGUGCAUGAACUUAAACUGACGUUUUCUGGUGUCUGAACUGCAUGACACUUGCACUUGGAAAGAGGAGACAUCAUAGCGUCACGUCAAUACACGCCCAACCAACUAGCUAGUACCACUUACGUUGGGGCGGGAAUAUUUGAAUUGCAGUGUCAGUUAGCUAGAGAGAUCCCUAGAUCCGUAGACCCCUCCGUAGAGAUCCACUCACUGCCUGUCCGCAACAUUAGCUGUGAUUUCAACGAGAAGACUUCAAGACUUUCAACAAAGUCGACAUCGAAGUACUUCAAAAGAACCAUGGUCUAGGCACAAUUUACACAGUAGGUCUUACGUUAGUGUGGUGGUUGUACAUUGAAAUGAUUUACUAGCUAGCUAACGUUAGUCAGCUGAAUUAAGUGCCAGAGAUGAAUAAACAUAUUUUAGCUAGCUAGCUACUUUGGUGUUAAGCAAGAGUUUAGGGGUUAGUUGUUGCAAGGUGCUUGAAUGCCUUAUAAAAUAAGCUGUUUAUCAAAAGGUAAUAAGACUUACUAGCACACUGUGUCCUAUUGCAGGGAAGUGAUGUUUUUUGUUUUUGUGAGUGUAGGGAAAAACUUGUGAUCGAUAUUGAAGCAUAGAGGUGUUUUAUGGAGACAUGAACAAUUAUUCUACUCAAUAUCCCUACACCCCAGUCUCCUCUGCUACCUCCCAGGGAGGAGGAAUACCCUAAACUCCUCGUUCUCACAGGACUCGGGCUAGUACGCUGUUGCCAGGUCAGUCUUGGGGGUGACCCGGCUGAGGUGAUUUUUUUGGGAAGAUUAUUUAAAAAUUUAAAAAAUGAAAUAAAUAACAUGAGGUU